AUAAAAUAGUGUGAAAUACGAGACAUUCAAUUAUUGCUCAUUGUAAAAAUACAUGAUUAUAUUAAAACACGUGAUGUCUCGAUAUACAAUACUUCAAACAAGUGUUCAUAUGGCAAUUACAUAUAUAACUUAUUGACCUACGUGGGAAUUAUCUAUGCCAGACCAAUUGAGUUUUCAUGUUUGACGUUCAAUGUUUAAUUAGUGAUACCAACGUUCGACGGUCCUAGACCCAACGGUUCUGUCUGUAUCAAUCCUUCAAUGUUCUGCUACUAAGUGAUACUACAAAAUUGACCUUUGGACCUUGAAGAACAAAACGCGUCCUCCACGUGUCACGAGGAGAAUGUGUACCAAGUUUGGACCUAGCAUAAACAGGUGAAUCUGUAUCAUGGUACAUGUAUGGCGUUGUCCGUCUGGACCUUGUAGGCUUAUAAGGAUGAUAUUUCUGAGCUGGCAAAAUGGUACAAGUAGCUUCUCUUGUUUCGGAAAGUCGUUCUGCAUCAACCGUUAAAGGAUACUACACUGCUUUCAUGCGCUGGAAAAAAUGGGGGAGUGAUAAUUAUAUUCAGGAGAGUUUGCCGGCUAAGCCACUCCACGUAGCUCUGUAUCUAUCUUGCCUGUCACAACAGUCAAAGACACACAGUCCCGUCACGCAAGCUUUUUACGGCAUAAAAUGGGCCCAUUCAGUGAUUGGUGUACAGUCUCCGACGGAUUCCGAUCUUGUUAAGAAUGUGUUUGAAGGUGCCAAAAGACGCACAUCUGUACCAGCAUUCUCUACCCAAAGUUCCGUGCGCUCCUCGCACUACAUCUCUGUCAACGGCUUUUUACAGAAAUCUUGUAAAAGUUUCUAUUAUCCAACAUUUAUGUUUUGGACUAAAUAUUUAGUCAUAUUAUGAUAUGUUUUUAGUGCUAUUAAAUUGAUGCUUGCUGUAAAUUGUUUAAAAUCGCCGUUUUCUGAUCAUAAAUUUGGAACUACUUCCCAAUAUGCGUAUGAAUGUAGGACAUACACGUUGUGGAGAUUUAAAUGUAAAAAUGAAAUCAAACGUAAGAAAGGCUGUAAAAAUAUGACAAAACUUGUAAAAUAAGAGACAAACAGCUGAAUGGUAAAUAUGUACUUAUUAAAGUGUCAGUGGGCUAUGAAAAGAGCCUGAUGUAUCACCUGUUACCCGAACUUUUAAAGGGAAAGGAAACCAAGAAUGAUUGUUUAUACCAUGUGAUUAUAUUGUCACGUGAUUCCAAGCGUUGACAGAGGUGUAUGUGAAGCUUGCGUAACGCGCCCUCUGUUGAGAGAAUGCUGUACCAGUGCACAAGAAGGAGCCGAUAACUCUAGAUCUCAUCUACAAAAUGUACGAGGCUUUAUUGGAGUAGGAAAAUCUUAAUUCUCAGCGAACCAUUUGUGCGUGUUUACUUUCAUAUGCUGGAUUUCUCCGAGUGUCUGAAUUACUUAAUCUUAAGAUUUGUGACAUUACGUUUCAUGAAUCACAUAUGUCAAUUUUCAUCGAAAAUUAAAACAGAUAUUUACAGAGAUGGGAACUGGUUAGUCAUAGCACGUACAGGAUCCAAACUUUGUCCAGUCUUGAAUUUAGAAAAACUAUUUUCAUAUGCCAAUCUUUCUGUUCAGUAUUCUGAAACGUUUUUGUUUAGAAACUUGGUCAAGUGUUCAAAUGUUUUCAAAUUCAGGAAUGACAAUAAGCCUUUGUCUUGCUUUAUCCCCACUUGUUAACAAUAUUAAAGAUUGUGACAUAGUUUGAGGGCAGGCGGUGCAUCCGCUGCAGCAAAUUUUGGUAUUCCAGACGACUAUUCAAAAGACAUGGUCGGUGGAAGUCGUAGACUGCCAAAGAUGGUUAUAUUAAAGACGUUAAAAUAAAGACUUUCGGUUUGUCAAAAUUUGGGUCUUUAACUUUUUUUUCCAUUUUUUAUUCCCGUUCUUUGAUCUUUCGACAUGAGCGCUAACCGCGUCAUCAUCCACUUUAUAUAACGCGUUGUUAGGUGUCAGGAGAAAUAUAAUUCUAUUCGUUUGAAUUGAUGAAUUAGAGUAGAAUUAUUUUCUCCUGAUAUGAGACGCUGUAGAUGGCGCUUUGUCGCGACUUUUUUUGGCGGGUUCAUGGGUUAUAGGCAAGAAUUUGUUCCGACGUGUUGGCGCUCAACCAGUACACACACAUUUUUCGUUUUUGAUAGGACUGUGCAUAGGAUUUUGUAUUAUCACACGAGUGUAUAUUAUGCAUUCUUAGUAAUGUGAUUUUCAUAUGUGUUUAUUAUGCGACUAUGGAUGAUGUCAAAUGAUGGACGAUGUUAUAAGAACUGUGGUGAUAAAGACAUGUCAUUA
Long non-coding RNA from Ostrea edulis (European flat oyster), 2323 nucleotides. RefSeq lists it as uncharacterized. NCBI's taxonomy places the organism in Eukaryota, Metazoa, Mollusca, Bivalvia, Ostreida, Ostreidae. The record is from RefSeq and is a predicted model, not a curated record. The transcript has 2 exons.